GACGAACGCUGGCGGCGUGCUUAACACAUGCAAGUCGAGCGGUAAGGCACCUUCGGGUGUACACGAGCGGCGAACGGGUGAGUAACACGUGAGUAAUCUGCCCUUCACUUCGGGAUAACCGCCGGAAACGGUGGCUAAUACCGGAUACGACGCGCUUUCGCAUGAGAUGCGCGUGGAAAGUUUUAUCGGUGGAGGAUGUGCUCGCGGCCUAUCAGCUUGUUGGUGGG
Molecule: ribosomal RNA, 227 nt
Filed under: uncultured bacterium
Lineage: Bacteria
Description: partial 16S ribosomal RNA
Rfam family: Bacterial small subunit ribosomal RNA
Source: RNAcentral